Molecule: ribosomal RNA, 214 nt
Filed under: uncultured bacterium
Lineage: Bacteria
Description: partial 16S ribosomal RNA
Rfam family: Bacterial small subunit ribosomal RNA
Source: RNAcentral
AAGUCAGAUGUGAAAGACCCGGGGCGUCAACCUCGGAAUUGCAUUUGAAACUAGGCAGACUAGAGUACUGUAGAGGGGGGUAGGAAUUUCAGGUGUAGCGGUGAAAUGCGUAGAGAUCUGAAGGAAUACCGGUGGCGAAGGCGGCCCCCUCGGACAGAUACUGACACUCAGAUGCGAAAGCGUGGGGAGCAAACAGGAUUAGAUACCCUGGUAG